This 215-nucleotide ribosomal RNA is filed under the name uncultured bacterium. RNAcentral describes it as "partial 16S ribosomal RNA". It matches the Rfam family "Bacterial small subunit ribosomal RNA", at positions 524 to 733 of the family's 1533-position model. The record is from RNAcentral.
UACGUAGGGUGCGAGCGUUGUCCGGAAUUAUUGGGCGUAAAGGGCUCGUAGGCGGUCUGUUGCGUCGGGAGUGAAAACUCAGGGCUUAACCCUGAGCCUGCUUCCGAUACGGGCAGACUAGAGGUAUGCAGGGGGAGAACGGAAUUCCUGGUGUAGCGGUGAAAUGCGGCAGAAUAUCAGGAGGAACACCGGUGGCGAAAGGGCGGUUCUCUGGG